CACACAGCUACUGAGGCAGCUGAGGCGCUGAGAGGUAAAACAACUUUCCUAUGAUCACAGAACUGGUGCCUUGGGCAGCAAGGUCUUCUGACUGCAAAUCCAGCACAUCCUGCAGUGUGACUGUUUACCCAGUGGAGAUUCCCCGUGCUUUGCCCAACCCAAGAAUGCCUGCUGACAUACCAUUUUUUUUCACCUGGGAAGCAAGAUCUAGCAGCCAAUGGGAUUCUGCCUGUACUUUGCAUUGCCUCUUCAGAUUGUUCAGGUACCAAAUCUGGUAUCAAGCCUUAUAAAAAUAAGACCCUGGGAAGAAGAGUGCAUCUCAGAUCAUGAAGAAGAUCUAUUUCAUUAGAGGGGACCAUGGACCCUUUAAUAAAGACCCAUUGGCUCAGAGCUCUGCCUCAGUGGUUUUUCUUGUAGGCUGGACAAUUUUAAUCCUCAAACUGCCAUACCAUGCUGCUUCUCCAAAGGAGAAAUGAAUUGAUGGAAACCAAUCACACCACCAAGAGAAAGAGUGUAGCUCAAGAAGAGGGCCCAAGUUAGACACUAAAAGGGUAGGAGACAGUUGAUGAUCUAGCAAAGGACACUAAUAAGGAAUGGUCACACAGGCAGAGGGCUAGAGUAGGCGUUAGGGACUUCUCCUGAAGUGUAGUCAGCACUGUCCAAGGACCCAGGAUCUUUGGAACUUUUCUAACUCUUGAGGUCAUCUCAAAGGCUGGACAUGUACAUUUCG
Non-coding RNA from Phascolarctos cinereus (koala), 730 nucleotides. Lineage: Eukaryota; Metazoa; Chordata; Mammalia; Diprotodontia; Phascolarctidae. The record is from RefSeq and is a predicted model, not a curated record.